This 208-nucleotide long non-coding RNA is filed under the name Manihot esculenta (cassava). RNAcentral's name for it is "long non-coding RNA (MESC_LNC008249)". Lineage: Eukaryota; Viridiplantae; Streptophyta; Magnoliopsida; Malpighiales; Euphorbiaceae. The record is from RNAcentral.
GGUCAGUUGGGCAAGUACAUGUUGGAAUGCCCUGUGUAGCUCCUUUGGGGGGCCCAGUAGUGACAGAGGGUAUUUUUGGGGUCAUGUCUACCUUAGUGGAGAUUGGACCAAGGCGACUUCAAUAGCCCGUCGAGGGAGUUUUGGGGUCAUGUCUAAUCCAAGAUAUAUUGAGAUGUUUGUUUGGUGAUGCAUUUUCAUAUAUAGUGUG